GCGGGGCUGCUCUGCGCGCUCACGCCCGCGGCCGCGCUGGCCUGGCUGAUCCGCAGGAGGAGCCUCUAGGGAGAGGGGCGCUGGACGGAGCGGGGAGCAGGCGGGACGCGCAACAGGCUGGAGCAAACCCUGUGCCCUUGGAGAAAAUUGUUUCCCCUUUUCCUCCAGGGAAUCCAGAGCCUGAGCAGCAGCUGUGAAGAGUGGAGAGAAAGGAAGAAGUGGGAGAUGCUGGAAGUGCUUUGGGCGACGUGAGAAGGAGGAUUUGCCCGGAAGGAGCUGUUCAAGGGCCCAGCAGCAAACCAGAGACACAAAACCUGCUUAUAUAUAGAAGAAUGUAACCCCUGUGUAUGCAGACGUGGACGCGUGCAUGCCUUGUCGAGAGCGUAAGCGACAUUCCCUGUAGAUCGCUGCUGUGAGCAGCCCUGCUCCUGCAGGCCGAGCCUGGGCACUGCUGCUGGCCUGCCGGACACCACCCGCUGCCCUGCUGGCCCAUUUGUGCAGCAGGAUGAGGAGGAAUCUCUACACCCAGAUUAGUAAUCCUGAGAAUUCCAAACGUGCUGCAGCGCGGGCACGGCCCAGGCGUGGCGGGGAGCGGGUGCGGAGCAGCUCGGACAGCAGUUUGUGUGUGUAAAUAUUCAUGCUCUGGCACCAGGGGAGAGCAGCUUUCCUAUGACUUUAGUUUCUCUGGUGCUACAUUUAAUAUUUGUCCGGGGCUAAACUGCCUCUCUGUGGUGCUACGGUUUCCCCAAGAGGAUGUUCUGAAACGUGGGACAAGGAAAGAUCUAUUUUGGUUAUUGAUAUUUAUACACAAGAUAGCAAAAAAUAAGACUUGUUGAGAAGGUG
Lonchura striata (white-rumped munia) is the source of this 843-nucleotide long non-coding RNA. RefSeq lists it as uncharacterized. Lineage: Eukaryota; Metazoa; Chordata; Aves; Passeriformes; Estrildidae. The record is from RefSeq and is a predicted model, not a curated record.